AAGCUCGAAAUGCAUCCAAACACUCGAACCUCACAAUUUGCAAAGGUCCAGUGUGUUACAGCGCCGUUCGAUACUAAAACCCUUCUAACCCUUCUUAAACUCAUUUUUAACCCUUCCAACAUUGUUGGAAUGCUAAAUGCAACUUGUCCAUUCAUCUCUUUCGUAUACUUUAGUCAAUUUGGCUAAAGUUCGAUAAUCGUUCUCGAGGUUUCAAUAUGUUACAUUAGCAGAAAAUUCACAGUGUCAGAAAAUUAUGAAAAUCUGAAAAUAUGUCGGGAUUAUUUUUAUGAUGCUAAUUUAAAGUUUCAUAUCAUUCCGACACUCGGAAAGUGAAAAAUAAAAUCUGACUGCUAUCUGUUAGAGAUUUCAGUUCGGUAGAGUUUUCGGUGACCAAAAAUAGUCGAAAUUGAAAAGUUAAGAUAUAUUUCUUUUUAUUAGUUUAAAUCGAGUCUGACUGU
RNAcentral lists this long non-coding RNA (458 nucleotides) under Ananas comosus (pineapple). RNAcentral's name for it is "long non-coding RNA (ACOM_LNC043597)". The record is from RNAcentral. Lineage: Eukaryota; Viridiplantae; Streptophyta; Magnoliopsida; Poales; Bromeliaceae.